RNAcentral lists this ribosomal RNA (798 nucleotides) under uncultured bacterium. RNAcentral describes it as "bacterial SSU rRNA". It matches the Rfam family "Bacterial small subunit ribosomal RNA", at positions 8 to 796 of the family's 1533-position model. The record is from RNAcentral.
AGAGUUUGAUCCUGGCUCAGAACGAACGCUGGCGGCGUGGAUAAGACAUGCAAGUCGAACGCUGAUUUGCGAGUAGCAAUAUUUGCAAAUCGGAGUGGCGCAAGGGUGCGUAACACGUGGGUAUCUGCCGUGAAGUCUGGAAUAACUUGCUGAAAGGCGAGCUAAUACCGGAUGUGAACGAAAGUUCAAAGUUGGGGACCGCAAGGCCUGACGCUUCACGAUGAGCCCGCGGCCUAUCAGCUAGUUGGUGAGGUAACGGCUCACCAAGGCUAAGACGGGUAGCUGGUCUGAGAGGACGACCAGCCACACUGGAACUGAGACACGGUCCAGACACCUACGGGUGGCAGCAGUCGAGAAUUUUUCUCAAUGGGCGAAAGCCUGAAGGAGCGACGCCGCGUGGGGGAUGAAUGGCUUCGGCCCGUAAACCCCUGUCAUUUGCGAACAAAUUGUUUCACCUAACACGUGAAGCAUUGAUUGUAGCGGAAGAGGAAGGGACGGCUAACUCUGUGCCAGCAGCCGCGGUAAUACAGAGGUCCCGAGCGUUGUUCGGAUUCACUGGGCGUAAAGGGUGCGUAGGCGGCCAGGUAAGUUUGAUGUGAAAUCCCGCAGCUUAACUGCGGAACUGCAUUGAAUACUAUUUGGCUGGAGGAAUGGAGGGGAGACUGGAAUUCUCGGUGUAGCAGUGAAAUGCGUAGAUAUCGAGAGGAACACCAGUGGCGAAGGCGAGUCUCUGGACAUUUCCUGACGCUGAGGCACGAAAGCCAGGGGAGCAAACGGGAUUAGAUACCCCCGUAGUCC